RNAcentral lists this long non-coding RNA (338 nucleotides) under Phoenix dactylifera (date palm). RNAcentral describes it as "long non-coding RNA (PDAC_LNC015308)". The record is from RNAcentral. Lineage: Eukaryota; Viridiplantae; Streptophyta; Magnoliopsida; Arecales; Arecaceae.
UUGCUUUGAUAGUUGCCAUGCUUGAGAAAAAUAUAUAUCACGUGUGCAUUGACUUAAAUUUCAUUAUAUAUUAUUUUAUGAAUGAUGUUUGUGGGUAACAUCACUGCAAACCCUCACGAGACAACACUCGUCCACUAGGGUAACCUAGGGGUUUAAUGGCUUGUUGCACGUGUUAAGUGCAAUCGUGAUUCCUACGAAAGUGAGUACUUAUCUUAAUUUUAUGCAAUUAGUUCUAAUAAAACAUCAAAGGAUCAACCAACAUUUUUUGUACUCUCAUGAUAUUGUUUACUCUGAAUUGCUAGAGACUAGCAAUAAGCGAGUUGGGGGGUAUGAUGAGA